CUACGGGGUGCACCAGUCGCGAAUCUUUUACAAUGCGCGAAAGCGUGAUAGAGCGAACCAAAGUGUAUUUCUUUUUGAAAUGCUUUUGUCUGCUGUAAAUAGGCAGAUGAAUAAGGACUGGGCAAGACUGGUGCCAGCCGCCGCGGUAAUCCCAGCAGUCCAAGUUGCAGCCGGUUUUAUUGGGUCUAAAACAUCCGUAGCUUGUUAUGCAAGUCUCUUGUGAAAUUUUAUCUCUCAAAGAUAAAGCGGGCAAGAGAUACUGUAUAGCUAGAGACCGGUAGGUGUAAGAAGUAUGUUCGAGGUAGUGGUUAAAUACGUUAAUCUUGAGCAGACUAACAAUUAGCGAAGGCAUCUUACAAGGACGGAUCUGACAGUGAGGGAUGAAGGCCAGGGGCGCAAAACGGAUUAGAUACCCGAGUAGUC
This 423-nucleotide ribosomal RNA is filed under the name uncultured archaeon. RNAcentral's name for it is "partial 16S ribosomal RNA". It matches the Rfam family "Archaeal small subunit ribosomal RNA", at positions 323 to 746 of the family's 1478-position model. The record is from RNAcentral.